This is a long non-coding RNA of Hyaena hyaena (striped hyena), 419 nucleotides long. RefSeq lists it as uncharacterized. The transcript is spliced from 3 exons. NCBI's taxonomy places the organism in Eukaryota, Metazoa, Chordata, Mammalia, Carnivora, Hyaenidae. The record is from RefSeq and is a predicted model, not a curated record.
AUUUAUAAAAUCUUCUGGAAAGUAUAAUCACAUUAUUUUCAUCAAUGAAUGCCAAACUUAAACAAAGCAGGAAUCACAGGGCAAAGUACACACCACUACGAUGAAAUGGUGUGUUUCCUGAAGCCCUGGAAGGCAAGUAAGAACUAUGGAAACAAUCUCCAGCCCCCAUCAAUCCCAUCUUCUGUGAUCCUGUACUUGGCUGCAGUGAUCACUACACUGGGGCCAGAACACCCAUAGGCAGCACACACUGAUGAUCCUGAGCCUCUUAAAAAGAUUCACGUAACAGCUCAGCAAGGUAGUUACUUCAUCUGGGACCAGACCUGGGAACAGCACUGCCAUAGCAACCUGACCAAGAUGAGGUUAAAGACUGGCCAAGUGAAGCCAUGAUUCAGGGACUAUUGAGUCAAAUCAAGAAGCCA